CCCGCCCAGACCAGCGGGUUGAUAGGCCGGAAGUGGAAGCACCGCAAGGUGUGGAGCUGACCGGUACUAAUAGGCCGAGGGCUUGACCA
This 89-nucleotide ribosomal RNA is filed under the name Blastococcus fimeti. RNAcentral's name for it is "Blastococcus sp. DSM 44205 23S rRNA. Bacterial LSU". It matches the Rfam family "Bacterial large subunit ribosomal RNA", at positions 2836 to 2925 of the family's 2925-position model. The record is from RNAcentral. Lineage: Bacteria; Bacillati; Actinomycetota; Actinomycetes; Geodermatophilales; Geodermatophilaceae.